GGACCCUAAAUGGAUGGCUUUGAAUAUUCCUUAAAAUUUCUAUACUUUCUAAAGUAAUUUAUGCAUAGUGAUAAAUUUUUUUAAAAUAAUUUUUAUAUGGAUACUAUAAAUAGAUUUUAUUAUUAUUAUAUUUUUUUAAAAUAAUUAUAAAUAUUUUUAAAUUACUUGACAUAUAAAAUAUUUCAAAAUUUAUCUAUGAGAAGUUGAUUAAUCACCUACAUCAUAAUUUACAUGGUGUUGCCGACAAAAUUUGCUCUAACAUGG
RNAcentral lists this long non-coding RNA (264 nucleotides) under Elaeis guineensis (African oil palm). RNAcentral's name for it is "long non-coding RNA (EGUI_LNC054217)". The record is from RNAcentral. Lineage: Eukaryota; Viridiplantae; Streptophyta; Magnoliopsida; Arecales; Arecaceae.